Long non-coding RNA from Anopheles arabiensis, 1356 nucleotides. RefSeq lists it as uncharacterized. Lineage: Eukaryota; Metazoa; Arthropoda; Insecta; Diptera; Culicidae. The record is from RefSeq and is a predicted model, not a curated record. The transcript is spliced from 4 exons.
AGAGGGUAGAGAGAGAGCGAGUCGCAUAAGGGUGGCCCGCCACUGUGUGUAGCGAAAGUGAUUCGAGACACAGAAAAUUAAUACUAAUCCAGGCGGCGUGCCCCGGAAGUGACUUCGGAAAAGCAAAAAUUCAAUAACAACCGAAAAAAGGCCCUGACUGCGGGUGUGCGGGCGCGAGUCUACACGCGAGAAAUAGGCUCAAAGAAGCCUCUGUAUUCCCGGAGAAAUAUUAAAAGGUAGCAAAGCGUGGUACGGGUGGAAAAGAAUAAAGACUUCGGAAUGAAGCGAUCCCGAACGGGGGACUCGACGAUCCCGGGAAUUUCUUUCAUUGAGAAUUCCUGCCAGCCCGCAAGGUUUCCAUUGAAAAAUGUGCUUCCCUUUUGGAACAACGGGGCUGUAUUUGUACGCGGGGAAUCAAUGCUAUAACUGAAUUCGAACCGAUCGAACUGCUUGUGCAUUAGUGAGAUCUGUGGUAGUAAGAGGUCCGGAGUUUGAGGAUAGUCUCUGCUGCAUGUGACGUCAAGUUUCGUCCCUCUUCCCUGAAAACGGGCUAGUAGUAGAGCGUUGCCGGUAAAAGCUGUAAGUUAUGCAUUCAAACGCCAUCCCAAAGAUGUCCUGUUCAAGGUUGUCACAUCCGGCGCUUUGUGUGGAAUAUCAAUGCGACUUCCUGAUUGAGUCGCCGAAAGGGGACUGAAAACGGUGAUGAUGUGUUACGGAACGUGAAGUUAGCGGAACGUUUCUCGUAAAGUUCCAUGCCAUGGCGAUGUCCCGGCUCGCAUGUCCAGUUCGGUGCUCAGUAGACGAGGCUCUACCAAGACACUGAGAGCUGAAACAGUCUCUAGCGAUAACCUUCCAACGGACCCAAAUCUCUUCGAAUGUUCUCCGUCGUGGUACGGUGGUUCCCCACUCCGCAAGGAACCUUUCACUGUACAUCACCCGAGCAAGUUACCAAAGUUGCCUCGGUACCCUCGCCGGUUGCUGAUAUGAAUAUUUAUCACAACGACUUUCAGAACUUUUAGGCUCGCCGUUUCCCAGCUCGUGCCAGCUCGGGAGGAAGGUGUGUGAAAACUUUCCCAGGAAAACUGGUGCAUAAAGGAACAAACCCUUUCAACGAUGCUGGUGGAGGGCGCUGGGGUUUUCUGAAGGUUAUGCUCUACAGAAAUCCGACAACCCUAAAGUAGGAAGACUUACGUUAGAUUGUUUUGCCUUAAAAUGCGUGUUAUGUCAUUCGAGAAGGGUUUGAAGAAAACGACAUUAAAGUGUUCAUAGAGAGUAUCCUGAAAAGUGGUAACAAAUUUGGACCAUUCUGAAGGCUUUUUCCGGUGAUUUCAAUGUACUAAAAUAAAGUUCUUUAAU